UACGUAGGGUGCAAGCGUUGUCCGGAAUUAUUGGGCGUAAAGAGCUCGUAGGCGGUUUGUCGCGUCUGCUGUGAAAACCCGAGGCUCAACCUCGGGCCUGCAGUGGGUACGGGCAGACUAGAGUGCGGUAGGGGAGAAUGGAAUUCCUGGUGUAGCGGUGGAACGCGCAGAUAUCAGGAGGAACACCGAUGGCGAAGGCAGUUCUCUGGGCCGUAACUGACGCUGAGGAGCGAAAGCGUGGGGAGCGAACAGG
This 253-nucleotide ribosomal RNA is filed under the name uncultured bacterium. RNAcentral describes it as "partial 16S ribosomal RNA". It matches the Rfam family "Bacterial small subunit ribosomal RNA", at positions 524 to 776 of the family's 1533-position model. The record is from RNAcentral.